UGAUAUCUGAACCCAUUAAGCCAAAGCUAAAAGCAAAGAGAAGCCUGAAAAUGAGUUAAAAAGAUUAACUGGAACACCAACUAAAUCACCAGAUCUUUGAUUUGAACCAGAAUAGGAGGAAUACAACUCCAAACACAAUAGCAACAGGAGCCCACUUUCGAAUUAAAGCCUGCCGGUUCAGAUCUCUCGCCUUGUCGGCAUAUAUGCGGGAUUCUGAAGUCAACCUACUUGACAUUUG
Molecule: unclassified non-coding RNA, 238 nt
Filed under: Hevea brasiliensis (rubber tree)
Lineage: Eukaryota; Viridiplantae; Streptophyta; Magnoliopsida; Malpighiales; Euphorbiaceae
Source: RNAcentral